AUCUUCUCCGGUUGCGAAGAAGGACGGUAACAUUGUUCCUAUCUCUUGGUUGUGAUUCUCUGAUUGUGUGUAAUUGUUUGAUUCUAUUUGUGAGUACUGAUUGUUUGAGCUGUGAAUACUAUAUUUUUUGGUGAUAUUUGUGAAUGAUUUAAUUCAUUUGAGCAUGGCUUCUAACACGAAUGGUGGUGGUUCUAGUAGUAACUC
This 204-nucleotide long non-coding RNA is filed under the name Nicotiana benthamiana. RNAcentral describes it as "long non-coding RNA (NBEN_LNC000273)". The record is from RNAcentral. Lineage: Eukaryota; Viridiplantae; Streptophyta; Magnoliopsida; Solanales; Solanaceae.